Molecule: ribosomal RNA, 536 nt
Filed under: uncultured bacterium
Lineage: Bacteria
Description: partial 16S ribosomal RNA
Rfam family: Bacterial small subunit ribosomal RNA
Source: RNAcentral
UGGGGAAUAUUGGACAAUGGGGGCAACCCUGAUCCAGCAAUGCCGCGUGUGUGAAGAAGGUCUUUGGAUUGUAAAGCACUUUCGACGGGGACGAUGAUGACGGUACCCGUAGAAGAAGCCCCGGCUAACUUCGUGCCAGCAGCCGCGGUAAUACGAAGGGGGCUAGCGUUGCUCGGAAUGACUGGGCGUAAAGGGCGUGUAGGCGGUUUACACAGUCAGAUGUGAAAUCCCCGGGCUUAACCUGGGAGCUGCAUUUGAUACGUGUAGACUAGAGUGUGAGAGAGGGUUGUGGAAUUCCCAGUGUGGAGGUGAAAUUCGUAGAUAUUGGGAAGAACACCGGUGGCGAAGGCGGCAACCUGGCUCAUGACUGACGCUGAGGCGCGAAAGCGUGGGGAGCAAACAGGAUUAGAUACCCUGGUAGUCCACGCUGUAAACGAUGUGUGCUAGAUGUUGGGUAACUUUGUUAUUCAGUGUCGCAGUUAACGCGUUAAGCACACCGCCUGGGGAGUACGGCCGCAAGGUUGAAACUCUAAAGU